Molecule: ribosomal RNA, 1484 nt
Filed under: uncultured Bordetella sp.
Lineage: Bacteria; Pseudomonadati; Pseudomonadota; Betaproteobacteria; Burkholderiales; Alcaligenaceae
Description: partial 16S-23S ribosomal RNA intergenic spacer
Rfam family: Bacterial small subunit ribosomal RNA
Source: RNAcentral
GGUUUGAUCAUGGCUCGUGAUUGAACGCUGGCGGGUGCUUUACACAUGCAAGUCGAACGGCAGCACGGACUUCGGUCUGGUGGCGAGUGGCGAACGGGUGAGUAAUGUAUCGGAACGUGCCUAGUAGCGGGGGAUAACUACGCGAAAGCGUAGCUAAUACCGCAUACGGCCCUUCGGGGAAAGCGGGGGGACCUUCGGGCCUCGCACUAUUAGAGCGGCCGAUAUCGGAUUAGCUAGUUGGUGGGUAACGGCUCACCAAGGCGACGAUCCGUAGCUGGUUUGAGGACGACCAGCCACACUGGGACUGGGAGAUACGCCCAGACUCCUACGGGAGGCAGCAGUGGGGAAUUUUUGGACAAUGGGGGAAACCCCGAUCCAGCCAUCCCGCGUGUGCGAUGAAGGCCUUCGGGUCGUAAAGCACUUUUGGCAGGGAAAGAAACGGCACGGGAUAAUACCCCGUGCAACUGACGGUACCUGCAGAAUAAGCACCGGCUAACUACGUGCCAGCAGCCGCGGUAAUGUGUAGGGUGCAAGCGUUAAUCGGAAUUACUGGGCGUAAAGCGUGCGCAGGCGGUUCGGAAAGAAAGAUGUGAAAUCCCAGAGCUUAACUUUGGAACUGCAUUUUUAACUACCGAGCUAGGCGGUAAGUCAGAGGGAGGUGGAAUUCCGCGUGUAGCAGUGAAAUGCGUAGAUAUGCGGAGGAACACCGAUGGCGAAGGCAGCCUCCUGGGAUAACACUGACGCUCAUGCACGAAAGCGUGGGGAGCAAACAGGACUAGAUACCCUGGUAGUCCACGCCCUAAACGAUGUCAACUAGCUGUUGGGGCCUUCGGGCCUGGUAGCGCGCAGCUAACGCGUGAAGUUGACCGCCUGGGGAGUGCCGGUCGCAAGAUUAAAACUCAAAGGAAUUGACGGGGACCCGCACAAGCGGUGGAUGAUGUGGAUGAAUUGAUGCAACGCGAAAAACCUUACCUACCCUUGACAUGUCUGAAUCCCUCAAGAGAUUUGGGAGUGCUCGCAAGAGAACCGAACACAGGUGCUGCAUGGCUGUCGUCAGCUCGUGUCGAGAUGUUGGGUUAAGUCUCGCAACGAGCGCAACCCUUGUCAUUAUUGCUACGAAAGGGCACUCUAUCGAGACUGCCGGUGACAAACCGGAGGAAGGUGGGGAUGACGUCAAGUCCUCAUGGCUCCUAUGGGUAGGGCUUCACACGUCAUACAAUGGUCGACAGAGGGUCGCCAACCCGCGAGGGGGGAGCCAAUCCCAGAAACCCGAUCGUAGUCCGGAUCGCAGUCUGCAACUCGACUGCGUGAAGUCGGAAUCGCUAGUAAUCGCGGAUCAGCAUGUCGCGGUGAAUACGUUCCCGGGUCUUGUACACACCGCCCGUCACACCAUGGGAGUGGGUUUUACCAGAAGUAGUUAGCCUAACCGUAAGGAGGGCGAUUGCCACGUAGGAUCUACGACUGGGGUGAAUGUAACAAGGUAA